Long non-coding RNA from Oreochromis aureus, 328 nucleotides. RefSeq lists it as uncharacterized. NCBI's taxonomy places the organism in Eukaryota, Metazoa, Chordata, Actinopteri, Cichliformes, Cichlidae. The transcript has 3 exons. The record is from RefSeq and is a predicted model, not a curated record.
AGCUGCUACUUCGGGACAGGAAUAAAAAGGACCUAGCUUGGAGGCACAUAAGUGAGGAGAUCGGGCAACCUGAGUCAACUGAUUAUGCAGCAGAGCCAUCCCCUGAUGCUUCUUCUGGCUCCCCAGUCCCUGGUCCCUCCACUCCUGCUGCUGCACCCACAGGCCCACAGAGGAGGACAGCUCAAAAGCGGUCGAGGGACGGGUCCCAGGAUGGUCCAUCGGCGGUGGAGCUGGCCAUCCUGGAGUCACUGAAGAGGCCACGCCCGUCUCCAACGGAGUAUUUCCUCCUUGGCCUUGCUCCUGCUCUGGAGAGCCUGCCGCCUCAGAC